UCAGUGGCGAACGGGUGAGUAACACGUGAGUAACCUGCCCCAGACUCUGGGAUAACCCCGGGAAACCGGAGCUAAUACCGGAUAUUACUUCUGUGCGCAUGUGCGGGGGUGGAAAGUUUUUCGGUCUGGGAUGGGCUCGCGGCCUAUCAGCUUGUUGGUGAGGUAGUGGCUCACCAAGGCGACGACGGGUAGCCGGCCUGAGAGGGCGACCGGCCACACUGGGACUGAGACACGGCCCAGACUCCUACGGGAGGCAGCAGUGGGGAAUAUUGCACAAUGGGCGAAAGCCUGAUGCAGCGACGCCGCGUGAGGGAUGACGGCCUUCGGGUUGUAAACCUCUUUCAGCAGGGAAGAAGCGGAAGUGACGGUACCUGCAGAAGAAGCACCGGCUAACUACGUGCCAGCAGCCGCGGUAAUACGUAGGGUGCGAGCGUUGUCCGGAAUUAUUGGGCGUAAAGAGCUUGUAGGCGGUUUGUCGCGUCUGCUGUGAAAAUCCGGGGCUCAACUCCGGACUUGCAGUGGGUACGGGCAGGCUAGAGUGUGGUAGGGGAGACUGGAAUUCCUGGUGUAGCGGUGGAAUGCGCAGAUAUCAGGAGGAACACCGAUGGCGAAGGCAGGUCUCUGGGCCACUACUGACGCUG
Molecule: ribosomal RNA, 641 nt
Filed under: Intrasporangium sp. I13A-01622
Lineage: Bacteria; Bacillati; Actinomycetota; Actinomycetes; Micrococcales; Intrasporangiaceae
Description: bacterial SSU rRNA
Rfam family: Bacterial small subunit ribosomal RNA
Source: RNAcentral